CAGAGGGGAAUCCCCUGGUGGUAGACAGUCUGUGUGACUCAGUACAUCAGCAAGUGUCCAGUGUAUCCCCUGACUGCGUAUACAGUGUAUCCCCUGACUGCUAGUAUACAGUGUAUUCCCUGACUGCUAGUAUACAGUGUAUCCCCUGACUGCUUAUACAGUGUAUUCCCUGACUGCUAGUAUACGGUGUAUCCCCUGACUGCUUAUACAGUGUAUUCCCUGACUGCUAGUAUACGGUGUAUCCCCUGACUGCUUAUACAGUGUAUCCCCUGACUGCUAGUAUACAGUGUAUCCCCCGACUGCUAGUAUACAGUGUGUUCCUUGACUGCUAGUUUACUGAGUAUCCUCUGACUUCAAGUUCUGAAUGUAUCUCCUGGCUGCAAGUAACUCAACGUAUGCACUAACCUCAAUUACCC
This is a non-coding RNA of Pelobates cultripes (western spadefoot toad), 416 nucleotides long. The record is from the annotation of a GenBank genome assembly. Lineage: Eukaryota; Metazoa; Chordata; Amphibia; Anura; Pelobatidae.